This 926-nucleotide ribosomal RNA is filed under the name Pseudomonas aeruginosa. RNAcentral's name for it is "bacterial SSU rRNA". It matches the Rfam family "Bacterial small subunit ribosomal RNA", at positions 30 to 954 of the family's 1533-position model. Lineage: Bacteria; Pseudomonadati; Pseudomonadota; Gammaproteobacteria; Pseudomonadales; Pseudomonadaceae. The record is from RNAcentral.
CUUACCCUGGCGGCAGCCUACCAUGCAAGUCGAGCGGAUGAAGGGAGCUUGCUCCUGGAUUCAGCGGCGGACGGGUGAGUAAUGCCUAGGAAUCUGCCUGGUAGUGGGGGAUAACGUCCGGAAACGGGCGCUAAUACCGCAUACGUCCUGAGGGAGAAAGUGGGGGAUCUUCGGACCUCACGCUAUCAGAUGAGCCUAGGUCGGAUUAGCUAGUUGGUGGGGUAAAGGCCUACCAAGGCGACGAUCCGUAACUGGUCUGAGAGGAUGAUCAGUCACACUGGAACUGAGACACGGUCCAGACUCCUACGGGAGGCAGCAGUGGGGAAUAUUGGACAAUGGGCGAAAGCCUGAUCCAGCCAUGCCGCGUGUGUGAAGAAGGUCUUCGGAUUGUAAAGCACUUUAAGUUGGGAGGAAGGGCAGUAAGUUAAUACCUUGCUGUUUUGACGUUACCAACAGAAUAAGCACCGGCUAACUUCGUGCCAGCAGCCGCGGUAAUACGAAGGGUGCAAGCGUUAAUCGGAAUUACUGGGCGUAAAGCGCGCGUAGGUGGUUCAGCAAGUUGGAUGUGAAAUCCCCGGGCUCAACCUGGGAACUGCAUCCAAAACUACUGAGCUAGAGUACGGUAGAGGGUGGUGGAAUUUCCUGUGUAGCGGUGAAAUGCGUAGAUAUAGGAAGGAACACCAGUGGCGAAGGCGACCACCUGGACUGAUACUGACACUGAGGUGCGAAAGCGUGGGGAGCAAACAGGAUUAGAUACCCUGGUAGUCCACGCCGUAAACGAUGUCGACUAGCCGUUGGGAUCCUUGAGAUCUUAGUGGCGCAGCUAACGCGAUAAGUCGACCGCCUGGGGAGUACGGCCGCAAGGUUAAAACUCAAAUGAAUUGACGGGGGCCCGCACAAGCGGUGGAGCAUGUGGUUUAAUUCGA